This is a long non-coding RNA of Papaver somniferum (opium poppy), 285 nucleotides long. RefSeq lists it as uncharacterized. The record is from RefSeq and is a predicted model, not a curated record. The transcript is spliced from 3 exons. NCBI's taxonomy places the organism in Eukaryota, Viridiplantae, Streptophyta, Magnoliopsida, Ranunculales, Papaveraceae.
GUCAGUGGGAGGAUGGUUAUCCGACAAAAUUGUAAAAUGUUUUGCAAUAUAUGCUGAGACUUGCUUUGCGAGUUUUGGGGACCGAGUAAAACAUUGGAUCACAUUAAACGAACCUCUUCAAACUUCGGUAAAUGGACAUGAUAUCGGGAUAUUUGCUCCUGGAAGAAGUGAAAAUUCUUCUACUGAACCAUAUCUGACUGCACAUUAUCAACUUCUGGCUCAUGCAGCACCUGUUUCCAUAUACAAGAAAAAGUUUCAGGCUCAGCAGGGUGGUGAAAUAGGAAU